GAUGAACGCUAGCUACAGGCUUAACACAUGCAAGUCGCGGGGCAGCAUGGGGGUUGCUUGCAACCCCUGAUGGCGACCGGCGGACGGGUGAGUAACGCGUAUCCAACCUGCCCUUCACCACGGGAUAACCCGGCGAAAGUCGGACUAAUACCGUAUGUUGUCCAUUGACGGCCUCCGAGUUGGACGAAGUGCUUGGCGGAGAGAGGAUGGGGUUGCGUCCGCUUUGCUUGAAGGGGGGGUAACGGCCAACCGUGGGCACGAUCGGUAGGGGUACUGAGAGGAAGGCCCCCCACAAGGGAACCGAGGCACGGGCCAGACUCCUACGGGAGGCAGAAGUGAGGAAUAGUGGUCAAUGGGCGUAAGCCUGAACCAGCCAAGUAGCGUGCAGGAUGACGGCCCUAUGGGUUGUAAACUGCUUUUAGGCGGGGAUAAAGGGGCCCACGUGUGGGCUUUUGCAGGUACCGCAUGAAUAAGGACCGGCUAAUUCCGUG
RNAcentral lists this ribosomal RNA (491 nucleotides) under uncultured bacterium. RNAcentral describes it as "partial 16S ribosomal RNA". It matches the Rfam family "Bacterial small subunit ribosomal RNA", at positions 28 to 507 of the family's 1533-position model. The record is from RNAcentral.